UUUAUUUGAAAUGCGCUAUGGACAGCUACAGAACUGUUAGGAUUGACUCAUUACAGAUUAGGAAGACCGGAACAGGCCCAGGCAAGCGUCUCCUCUUGGCCCCUCAGCAAACUGCUACGGGAGCUCUAACCACUGACUUUCCAGAUGUUUGUUCAGACUCCAGAGGAUUAAGAGUCCAGGCACCGCCACUGUCUUGACGUCCACAGGAAAAACUCAGCUGUGGGUUUUGAAGGACCGACACCUACCAGAGUCAGAGGCUGGAGUUGAGGUAACCUCUGACUCAGAUAUUUGGGUGUUUCCAGCUCCAUUUGCUAUACAACUCUGAUUUAUUCACCAACCAACCUGUAUAAAAAUGAGCAGAGG
Mauremys reevesii (Reeves's turtle) is the source of this 363-nucleotide long non-coding RNA. RefSeq lists it as uncharacterized. The record is from RefSeq and is a predicted model, not a curated record. Lineage: Eukaryota; Metazoa; Chordata; Testudines; Geoemydidae. The transcript has 3 exons.